Molecule: ribosomal RNA, 426 nt
Filed under: uncultured bacterium
Lineage: Bacteria
Description: bacterial SSU rRNA
Rfam family: Bacterial small subunit ribosomal RNA
Source: RNAcentral
GUGAGGAAUUUUCCGCAAUGGGCGAAAGUCUGACGGAGCAAUGCCGCGUGAAGGAUGAAGGCCUAUGGGUUGUAAACUUCUUUUCUCAGAAAAGAAUUAUGACGGUAUCUGAGGAAUAAGCAUCGGCUAACUCUGUGCCAGCAGCCGCGGUAAGACAGAGGAUGCAAGCGUUAUCCGGAAUGAUUGGGCGUAAAGCGUCUGUAGGUUGUUUAAAAAGUAUUCUGUCAAAGAUUAGGGCUUAACCCUAGAUAGGCAGAAUAAACUUUUAAGCUAGAGGUUGGUAGAGGCAGAGGGAAUUCCCGGUGGAGCGGUGAAAUGCGUAGAUAUCGGGAGGAACACCAAAGGCGAAGGCACUCUGCUGGGCCAAUACUAACACUGAGAGACGAAAGCGAGGGGAGCAAAUGGGAUUAGAUACCCUGGUAGUCC